UCCAUCUUUUACAGUGUCAGAGAGAUUGUAACUAUGAUCAAGGCCUCUCUUGUUCUCCUUCUGCAUUCAAAUGCAUGCUGAGAUUUGGGCAAUUGCUGCCCUGUUUUCAUUUCCACCAUUGACUCCUUCUGUUUGGAAGCUCACUUCAGCUAUCUGGAAUGCUAUGACAUUACUGAGCUGGAUAAGAAAUAGGAAUGGAAGUGAGUAGGAAGAAGUGAAGGUCAGGAGUACACCCUAACAUACUAUUCUGCCAUCCACUCUCCCUGCAAUGCCUUAUGAGCACCUGACCUGCUCAAGCUGUCACACCUGAACUCCUGGUCUGCUUCCCAGCUCCUUGCUCACUGGCAGUGCUCAGCAGUGCCACGGAGAAGCAUUAGGGAAGUUUGAGCUCGACUUACCCUGCACAUGAGAACCCCGUGAAGCUGAAAACACCACAAGCUAAGGCUGACAGAGACUAGCUUUUUACUAAAUUGCCUGGAGAAUGCACACACAGCUGUGAAACCUGCUGCGUGCACACAGCCUGAACUGUCUCACGGGAAGGUGUGCUGUGGAAGGAAGGAUGUGGUGGGAACAUGUCUGGUGGGUGUGCAGCUGCUUGAACCUCAUGCUGGGAAGCAGAGCUGUGCUCAGGAGCAUUAACCCAGACCACUGGAGCUCCUGGUGGCAAGUCCAGACAGGCCACUCACUCUUUGCCUACAAUGACUCAGUAUUUUUGAUACCCCAGGGAAGCGGAAAAGGAACAGUACUAUAAGAAUGUCCACAGCCUGGAAAAACUGGGCACGAUCUCACAGUUCUUGUGAGGGUAGCAGGGUCCACAGAGGGUGCGGAUGGCCUAAGCAAGUGGCUGUUGAGGUGGGUUUGUAGUCUUGUCUGCUUCUGAAUGGUGGAUCCAGUACUGGUUCCAAGGAGGGGCUGCAUGCAGGGCCCUGCAGGCCUCACAGCAGUCAGCACUCCAGCAGGGCAGCUCUUCUGAACAGGGCUGCUUGGGGAUCGUGCCUUCAUGGUUUUCAGAGCUGCACUUCACUUGCUGGAGCUGGUGCCCAAGGCACAGUGAUGCCUGGACACUGGGGGCUCCAGGGAGGAUGCCACUGCCUGGGACCCGGGGCCAUGGGUUAGGCUGGGCCUCUCCUGCAGGGGGUGUUCUGGUUGAGGCCCUGAAUCACAGGGAGAGGAGAAAGAAGGGAAUAUUUAGAGGGUCUUUGUGGAAAAUAUGCAGAGACAGAAGCAGAGCCAUACAAAAUACAGGAAGGACAGUAGAAGCUGUAGUCAUGUGGGCAGCAGAGGGCAACUGCCACCGGAAACCUGGGUGUGUUAGGGAAACCUGAUCCUGUGAGGUGAGGGUGGCAAGCAGGGAAGGCAAGGUGGUGUCUCCUCAGUCCUUACAGUAAGAAGGCAAUGUUUCAGCAGAAGUAGACUUAUCUAGAAGGUCACCUGGCUACAUGGCUGAGGCAUGGUGCUGCAGUGACAGAAACAAUCCUGUCAGUGAACACUAACAAGUCUUAAUGAGAAAUGAGGAAACAUAAAGCACAAAGGAGGCCCUUGCUUUGGU
Molecule: long non-coding RNA, 1549 nt
Organism: Cygnus olor (mute swan)
Lineage: Eukaryota; Metazoa; Chordata; Aves; Anseriformes; Anatidae
Exons: 3
Source: RefSeq, a predicted model, not a curated record